Molecule: ribosomal RNA, 601 nt
Filed under: Photobacterium sp.
Lineage: Bacteria; Pseudomonadati; Pseudomonadota; Gammaproteobacteria; Vibrionales; Vibrionaceae
Description: bacterial SSU rRNA
Rfam family: Bacterial small subunit ribosomal RNA
Source: RNAcentral
GUGCCAGCAGCCGCGGUAAUACGGAGGGUGCGAGCGUUAAUCGGAAUUACUGGGCGUAAAGCGCAUGCAGGCGGUCUGUUAAGCAAGAUGUGAAAGCCCGGGGCUCAACCUCGGAACAGCAUUUUGAACUGGCAGACUAGAGUCUUGUAGAGGGGGGUAGAAUUUCAGGUGUAGCGGUGAAAUGCGUAGAGAUCUGAAGGAAUACCGGUGGCGAAGGCGGCCCCCUGGACAAAGACUGACGCUCAGAUGCGAAAGCGUGGGGAGCAAACAGGAUUAGAUACCCUGGUAGUCCACGCCGUAAACGAUGUCUACUUGGAGGUUGUGGCCUUGAGCCGUGGCUUUCGGAGCUAACGCGUUAAGUAGACCGCCUGGGGAGUACGGUCGCAAGAUUAAAACUCAAAUGAAUUGACGGGGGCCCGCACAAGCGGUGGAGCAUGUGGUUUAAUUCGAUGCAACGCGAAGAACCUUACCUACUCUUGACAUCCAGAGAACUUUCCAGAGAUGGAUUGGUGCCUUCGGGAACUCUGAGACAGGUGCUGCAUGGCUGUCGUCAGCUCGUGUUGUGAAAUGUUGGGUUAAGUCCCGCAACGAGCGCAACCCU